RNAcentral lists this ribosomal RNA (229 nucleotides) under uncultured bacterium. RNAcentral's name for it is "partial 16S ribosomal RNA". It matches the Rfam family "Bacterial small subunit ribosomal RNA", at positions 568 to 796 of the family's 1533-position model. The record is from RNAcentral.
UGCGUAGGCGGAAUAAUAAGUCAGUGGUGAAAUCCUGUGGCACAACCACAGAACUGCCAUUGAUACUGUUAUUCUUGAAUAUAGUUGAGGUAGGCGGAAUGUGUAAUGUAGCGGUGAAAUGCUUAGAUAUUACACAGAACACCGAUUGCGAAGGCAGCUUGCUAAACUAUUAUUGACGCUGAGGCACGAAAGCGUGGGGAGCGAACAGGAUUAGAUACCCUGGUAGUCC